This 244-nucleotide ribosomal RNA is filed under the name Escherichia coli. RNAcentral's name for it is "partial 16S ribosomal RNA". It matches the Rfam family "Bacterial small subunit ribosomal RNA", at positions 1 to 241 of the family's 1533-position model. Lineage: Bacteria; Pseudomonadati; Pseudomonadota; Gammaproteobacteria; Enterobacterales; Enterobacteriaceae. The record is from RNAcentral.
AAAUUGAAGAGUUUGAUCAUGGCUCAGAUUGAACGCUGGCGGCAGGCCUAACACAUGCAAGUCGAACGGUAACAGGAAGCAGCUUGCUGCUUCGCUGACGAGUGGCGGACGGGUGAGUAAUGUCUGGGAAACUGCCUGAUGGAGGGGGAUAACUACUGGAAACGGUAGCUAAUACCGCAUAACGUCGCAAGACCAAAGAGGGGGAGCUUCGGGCCUCUUGCCAUCGGAUGUGCCCAGAUGGGAU